GAUGAACGCUGGCGGCGUGCCUAAUACAUGCAAGUCGAGCGAACAGACGAGGAGCUUGCUCCUCUGACGUUAGCGGCUGACGGGUGAGUAACACGUGGAUCACCUACCUAUAAGACUGGGAUAACUUCGGGAAACCGGAGCUAAUACCGGAUAAUAUAUUUAACCGCAUGGUUAACUAGUGAAAGACGGUUUUGCUGUCACUUAUAGAUGGAUCCGCCUCGCAUUAGCUAGUUGGUCAGGUAACGAAUUACCAAGGCAACGGUGCGUAGCCGACCUGAGAUGGGGCAGCGACACACUGGAACUGAGACACGGUCCAGACUCCGUCGGGAGGCAGCAGUAGGGAAUCUUCCGCAAUGGGCGAAAGCCUGACGGAACAACGCCGCAGGAGUGAUGAAGGUCUUCGGAUCUUAAAACUCUGUUAUAAGGGAAGAACAAAUGUGUAAGUAACUAUGCACGUCUUGACGGUACCUAAUCAGAAGGCCACGGCUAACUACGUG
RNAcentral lists this ribosomal RNA (497 nucleotides) under uncultured bacterium. Its description in RNAcentral is "partial 16S ribosomal RNA". It matches the Rfam family "Bacterial small subunit ribosomal RNA", at positions 28 to 507 of the family's 1533-position model. The record is from RNAcentral.